UUGAAGAACAGCAUUAACACAGAGUCUAUCUGGACCUAAUGGAUACUUCCCAAACCCUCUCUUCAGUGCCAUGUGAAUGCAAGUGUCAGAGCGUAAGAGAAGGGAGAAGCUGCUGUGCUGUGACGGAGACUGAUACUACCACUAUUCUUGCAGCACAUCUAGAUGCACUUAGUAGGUGGAGUUCUUUGGUGCCCAGAUACAACCCUCCUGAAGAUAGCAAGUAGACACAUUGUGUGGGCCUGAUUCUCAGUCCAGAGGAACUCUCCAUGCCCAUCACUGAAGAUAUUGUGGACUUACUUUGAACUAAAUGCCACUAAAAUCAGAAUCCAACUCUACAGCUCUGACAGGAGAUGGAACAGCUGAACAAGAGUAGGCAUUCAGGAAAGUCCUUACACCCUGCACUUUUCUUCCUGUUUUCCUCCUUUGGCGUCUUCACUUCGCCUGAAUACUGGAGAUACAGGACAAGAGAAUAUUGCAUUUACUCCAGCUGAGAAUUCAACAGAGGAAAACAACUAUUUUGCAACAAAUGUGCAUCUGUAGCAGGAACAAGCACACAAAAUGUAGCUAUUCAGCCAGUAUCAAAUUGUGAAUGGAACCUUCAAAUUUUCUAACAAU
This is a long non-coding RNA of Athene cunicularia (burrowing owl), 615 nucleotides long. RefSeq lists it as uncharacterized. The record is from RefSeq and is a predicted model, not a curated record. NCBI's taxonomy places the organism in Eukaryota, Metazoa, Chordata, Aves, Strigiformes, Strigidae. The transcript has 4 exons.